RNAcentral lists this ribosomal RNA (301 nucleotides) under uncultured bacterium. Its description in RNAcentral is "partial 16S ribosomal RNA". It matches the Rfam family "Bacterial small subunit ribosomal RNA", at positions 509 to 808 of the family's 1533-position model. The record is from RNAcentral.
CAGCCGCCGCGGGAAAACGGGGGGGGCAAGUGUUAUUCGGAAUGACUGGGCGUAAAGGGCACGUAGGCGGUGAAAAGGGUGGAAAGUGAAAGUCGCCAAAACACUGGCGGGGUGCUUUCUUGACCAUUUCACUUGAGUGAGAUAGGGGAGAGUGGAAUUUCGUGUGGAGGGAUCAAAUCCUAAGAUAUACGAAGGAACGCCAACCGCGAAGGCAGCUCUCUGGGUCCCCACUGACGCUGGGGUGCGAAAGCAUGGGGAGAAAACAGGAUCAGAUACCCGUGUAGUCCCUGUCUCUUAUACC